This 460-nucleotide ribosomal RNA is filed under the name uncultured bacterium. RNAcentral's name for it is "partial 16S ribosomal RNA". It matches the Rfam family "Bacterial small subunit ribosomal RNA", at positions 338 to 795 of the family's 1533-position model. The record is from RNAcentral.
CCUACGGGAGGCAGCAGUGAGGAAUAUUGGUCGAUGGACGAGAGUCUGAACCAGCCAAGUAGCGUGAAGGAUGACUGCCCUAUGGGUUGUAAACUUCUUUUAUAUGGGAAUAAAAUGUUCCACGUGUGGGAUUUUGUAUGUACCAUAUGAAUAAGGAUCGGCUAACUCCGUGCCAGCAGCCGCGGUAAUACGGAGGAUCCGAGCGUUAUCCGGAUUUAUUGGGUUUAAAGGGAGCGUAGGUGGAUUGUUAAGUCAGUUGUGAAAGUUUGCGGCGCAACCGUAAAAUUGCAGUUGAAACUGGCAGUCUUGAGUACAGUAGAGGUGGGCGGAAUUCGUGGUGUAGCGGUGAAAUGCUUAGAUAUCACGAAGAACUCCGAUUGCGAAGGCAGUUCACUGGACUGCAACUGACACUGAGGCUCGAAAGUGUGGGUAUCAAACAGGAUUAGAUACCCCUGUAGUC